GACGAACGCUGGCAGCGUGCUUAACACAUGCAAGUCGAGCGGUAAGGCCCUUUCGGGGGUACACGAGCGGCGAACGGGUGAGUAACACGUGGGUGACCUGCCCUCAGCUCUGGGAUAAGCCUGGGAAACCGGGUCUAAUACCGGAUAUGACUCCAUGACGCAUGUUGUGGGGUGGAAAGCCUUGUGCGGCUGAGGAUGGGCCCGCGGCCUAUCAGCUUGUUGGUGGGGNGAUGGCCUACCAAGGCGACGACGGGUAGCCGGCCUGAGAGGGCGACCGGCCACACUGGGACUGAGACACGGCCCAGACUCCUACGGGAGGCAGCAGUGGGGAAUCUUGCGCAAUGGGCGAAAGCCUGACGCAGCGACGCCGCGUGAGGGAUGACGGCCU
RNAcentral lists this ribosomal RNA (388 nucleotides) under uncultured bacterium. RNAcentral's name for it is "bacterial SSU rRNA". It matches the Rfam family "Bacterial small subunit ribosomal RNA", at positions 28 to 417 of the family's 1533-position model. The record is from RNAcentral.